Molecule: small nucleolar RNA, 107 nt
Organism: Rhododendron vialii
Lineage: Eukaryota; Viridiplantae; Streptophyta; Magnoliopsida; Ericales; Ericaceae
Source: RefSeq, a predicted model, not a curated record
AAGCCAUGAUGGGGGAUUAAGUUUAAUAGAUCCUUGUAUCUCUCCCAAUAUUGAUAAAAUGACUCCCCAUCUUUUUGUUUAAACGUUUGAAUCUGAUUGAUGAGGUC